GCGGCAUGCUAAUACAUGCAAGUCGAGCGGACUGAUGGGAGCUUGCUCCCAUCAGUCAGCGGCGGACGGGUGAGUAACACGUGGGUAACCUGCCUGUAAGACUGGGAUAACUCCGGGAAACCGGGGCUAAUACCGGAUAACUCAUUUCCUCGCAUGAGGAAAUGUUGAAAGGUGGCUUUUAGCUAUCACUUACAGAUGGACCCGCGGCGCAUUAGCUAGUUGGUGAGGUAACGGCUCACCAAGGCGACGAUGCGUAGCCGACCUGAGAGGGUGAUCGGCCACACUGGGACUGAGACACGGCCCAGACUCCUACGGGAGGCAGCAGUAGGGAAUCUUCCGCAAUGGACGAAAGUCUGACGGAGCAACGCCGCGUGAGUGAUGAAGGUUUUCGGAUCGUAAAACUCUGUUGUUAGGGAAGAACAAGUACCGUUCGAAUAGGGCGGUACCUUGACGGUACCUAACCAGAAAGCCACGGCUAACUACGUGCCAGCAGCCGCGGUAAUACGUAGGUGGCAAGCGUUGUCCGGAAUUAUUGGGCGUAAAGCGCGCGCAGGUGGUUUCUUAAGUCUGAUGUGAAAGCCCCACGGCUCAACCGUGGAGGGUCAUUGGGAAACUGGGGAAACUUGAGUGCAGAAAGAGGGAGAG
Molecule: ribosomal RNA, 645 nt
Filed under: Bacillus sp. (in: firmicutes)
Lineage: Bacteria; Bacillati; Bacillota; Bacilli; Caryophanales; Bacillaceae
Description: bacterial SSU rRNA
Rfam family: Bacterial small subunit ribosomal RNA
Source: RNAcentral